Molecule: transfer RNA, 64 nt
Filed under: Fistulobalanus albicostatus
Lineage: Eukaryota; Metazoa; Arthropoda; Thecostraca; Balanomorpha; Balanidae
Description: tRNA-Thr
Source: RNAcentral
GUCUAUGUAAUUUAUAAAAAAUACCGGUCUUGUAAACCGGAAAAAGAAUUUAUUCUCUUGGACU